This is a non-coding RNA of Dasypus novemcinctus (nine-banded armadillo), 75 nucleotides long. The record is from Ensembl. Lineage: Eukaryota; Metazoa; Chordata; Mammalia; Cingulata; Dasypodidae.
GUUAAGAUGGCAGAGACAGGUAAUUGCAUAAGACUUAAACCUUUAUUACCAGAGGUUCAAAUCCUCUUCUUAACA